GACGAACGCUGGCGGCGUGCUUAACACAUGCAAGUCGAACGGAAAGGCACUGAUUUUGUGGGGUGCCCGAGUGGCGAUCGGGUGAGUAACACGUGAGUAACCUGCUCUUGUCUUUGGGAUAACUUCAGGAAACUGGGGCUACUCCCGGAUAGGAGCCGCUGCUGCAGGGUGGGGGUUGGAAAGUUUCGGCGGUUGGGGAUGGACUAGCGGGUUAUCGGUUUGUUGGUGGGGUAGUGGCUUACCCAGGCUUUGAACGGUAGCCGGCAUGGGAGGGGGACCGGGCACAUUAGUACUGAGAGACGGCGCAGACGGCAACGGGAGGCAGCAGGGGGGAGUAUGGCACAGUGGGAGCAAGUCGGAGGCAGCGACCCUGGGGGCGUAAAGACGGCUUGUGGGUAGUGAACCGCUGUCGCCUGUGACGAAGCGUGAGUGACGGUAAUGGGUAAAGAAGCACCGGCUAACUACGUG
This 468-nucleotide ribosomal RNA is filed under the name uncultured bacterium. RNAcentral's name for it is "partial 16S ribosomal RNA". It matches the Rfam family "Bacterial small subunit ribosomal RNA", at positions 28 to 507 of the family's 1533-position model. The record is from RNAcentral.